This 313-nucleotide unclassified non-coding RNA is filed under the name Coprinellus micaceus. RNAcentral's name for it is "partial internal transcribed spacer region". The stretch from base 1 to 46 matches the Rfam family "Eukaryotic small subunit ribosomal RNA", at positions 1786 to 1831 of the family's 1831-position model. Lineage: Eukaryota; Fungi; Basidiomycota; Agaricomycetes; Agaricales; Psathyrellaceae. The record is from RNAcentral.
AAGUCGUAACAAGGUUUCCGUAGGUGAACCUGCGGAAGGAUCAUUAACGAAUAACUAUGGUGUCUUGGUUGUAGCUGGCUCCUCGGAGCAAUGUGCACGCCCGCCAUUUUUAUCUUUCCACCUGUGCACCAACUGUAGGUCUGGAUGACUCUCGCACUCCGGUGCGGAUGCGAGGAUUGCUCUCGGGCUCUCCUCGAAUUUCCAGGCUCUACGUCUUUUUACACACCCCAAAUGUAUGAUACAGAAUGUAGUCAAUGGGCUUGAUCGCCUAUAAAACACUAUACAACUUUCAGCAACGGAUCUCUUGGCUCUC